CUCAGGGUGGGGGUCCCUCAGCCCAGAUUGGGAGAGGGUGCAGGCCAGGCGGAAGGACCCCACCAGUGCAAG
Molecule: microRNA precursor, 72 nt
Filed under: Myotis lucifugus (little brown bat)
Lineage: Eukaryota; Metazoa; Chordata; Mammalia; Chiroptera; Vespertilionidae
Description: mir-9193 microRNA precursor family
Rfam family: mir-9193 microRNA precursor family
Source: Rfam by way of RNAcentral